Molecule: ribosomal RNA, 796 nt
Filed under: uncultured bacterium
Lineage: Bacteria
Description: bacterial SSU rRNA
Rfam family: Bacterial small subunit ribosomal RNA
Source: RNAcentral
AGAGUUUGAUCCUGGCUCAGGAUGAACGCUAGCGACAGGCUUAACACAUGCAAGUCGAGGGGCAGCAUAGAAGUAGCAAUACUUUGGUGGCGACCGGCGCACGGGUGAGUAACGCGUAUGCAACCUACCUAUCAGAGGGGAAUAACCCGGCGAAAGUCGGACUAAUACCGCAUAAAACAGGGGCACCGCAUGGUGAUAUUUGUUAAAGAAAUUCGCUGAUAGAUGGGCAUGCGUUCCAUUAGGUAGUUGGUGAGGUAACGGCUCACCAAGCCGACGAUGGAUAGGGGAACUGAGAGGUUGGUCCCCCACACUGGUACUGAGACACGGACCAGACUCCUACGGGAGGCAGCAGUGAGGAAUAUUGGUCAAUGGGCGGGAGCCUGAACCAGCCAAGUCGCGUGAAGGAAGAAGGAUCUAUGGUUCGUAAACUUCUUUUGCAGGGGAAUAAAGUGCAGGACGUGUCCUGUUUUGUAUGUACCCUGAGAAUAAGGAUCGGCUAACUCCGUGCCAGCAGCCGCGGUAAUACGGAGGAUCCGAGCGUUAUCCGGAUUUAUUGGGUUUAAAGGGUGCGUAGGUGGUUUGAUAAGUCAGCGGUGAAAGUUUGCAGCUUAACUGUAAAAAUGCCGUUGAAACUGUCGGACUUGAGUGUAAAUGAGGUAGGCGGAAUGCGUGGUGUAGCGGUGAAAUGCAUAGAUAUCACGCAGAACUCCGAUUGCGAAGGCAGCUUACUAAGUUGUAACUGACGCUGAAGCACGAAAGCAUGGGGAUCAAACAGGAUUAGAUACCCUGGUAGUCG